GUAGUACUCCCUCUGUCCAGAAAAGUUUGUCCCUUGAAUGGAUGUAUCUAGCACCAAGUUAGUACUAGAUACAUCCAUUUAAAGGACAAGGUUGGGAUAAGAUUUUUCGGACGGAGGGAGUACUGU
Molecule: non-coding RNA, 126 nt
Organism: Triticum aestivum (bread wheat)
Lineage: Eukaryota; Viridiplantae; Streptophyta; Magnoliopsida; Poales; Poaceae
Source: Rfam